Molecule: ribosomal RNA, 754 nt
Filed under: Leotiomycetes sp.
Lineage: Eukaryota; Fungi; Ascomycota; Leotiomycetes
Description: SSU rRNA
Rfam family: Eukaryotic small subunit ribosomal RNA
Source: RNAcentral
CAAAGAUUAAGCCAUGCAUGUCUAAGUAUAAGCAAUCUAUACGGUGAAACUGCGAAUGGCUCAUUAAAUCAGUUAUCGUUUAUUUGAUAGUACCUUACUACUUGGAUAACCGUGGUAAUUCUAGAGCUAAUACAUGCUAAAAAUCCCGACUUCGGAAGGGAUGUAUUUAUUAGAUAAAAAACCAAUGCCCUUCGGGGCUCCUUGGUGAUUCAUAAUAACUUAACGAAUCGCAUGGCCUUGUGCCGGCGAUGGUUCAUUCAAAUUUCUGCCCUAUCAACUUUCGAUGGUAGGAUAGUGGCCUACCAUGGUUUCAACGGGUAACGGGGAAUUAGGGUUCUAUUCCGGAGAGGGAGCCUGAGAAACGGCUACCACAUCCAAGGAAGGCAGCAGGCGCGCAAAUUACCCAAUCCCGACACGGGGAGGUAGUGACAAUAAAUACUGAUACAGGGCUCUUUUGGGUCUUGUAAUUGGAAUGAGUACAAUUUAAAUCCCUUAACGAGGAACAAUUGGAGGGCAAGUCUGGUGCCAGCAGCCGCGGUAAUUCCAGCUCCAAUAGCGUAUAUUAAAGUUGUUGCAGUUAAAAAGCUCGUAGUUGAACCUUGGGCCUGGCUGGCCGGUCCGCCUCACCGCGUGCACUGGUCCGGCCGGGCCUUUCCUUCUGUGGAGCCGCAUGCCCUUCACUGGGUGUGUCGGGGAAACAGGACUUUUACUUUGAAAAAAUUAGAGUGUUCAAAGCAGGGCUAUGCUCGAAUAC